UACGUAGGGUGCGAGCGUUGUCCGGAAUUAUUGGGCGUAAAGAGCUCGUAGGCGGUGUGUCGCGUCGGUCGUGAAAACUUGGGGCUUAACUCUGAGCUUGCGGUCGAUACGGGCAUCACUGGAGUUCGGCAGGGGAGACUGGAAUUCCUGGUGUAGCGGUGAAAUGCGCAGAUAAUCAGGAGGAACACCGAUGCGAAGGGCAGGUCUCUGG
Molecule: ribosomal RNA, 211 nt
Filed under: uncultured bacterium
Lineage: Bacteria
Description: partial 16S ribosomal RNA
Rfam family: Bacterial small subunit ribosomal RNA
Source: RNAcentral